CCUACGGGUGGCUGCAGUGGGGAAUAUUGGACAAUGGGCGAAAGCCUGAUCCAGCCAUGCCGCGUGUGUGAAGAAGGUCUUCGGAUUGUAAAGCACUUUAAGUUGGGAGGAAGGGCAGUAAGUUAAUACCUUGCUGUUUUGACGUUACCAACAGAAUAAGCACCGGCUAACUUCGUGCCAGCAGCCGCGGUAAUACGAAGGGUGCAAGCGUUAAUCGGAAUUACUGGGCGUAAAGCGCGCGUAGGUGGUUCAGCAAGUUGGAGGUGAAAUCCCCG
RNAcentral lists this ribosomal RNA (275 nucleotides) under uncultured Pseudomonas sp. Its description in RNAcentral is "partial 16S ribosomal RNA". It matches the Rfam family "Bacterial small subunit ribosomal RNA", at positions 338 to 605 of the family's 1533-position model. Lineage: Bacteria; Pseudomonadati; Pseudomonadota; Gammaproteobacteria; Pseudomonadales; Pseudomonadaceae. The record is from RNAcentral.